Molecule: ribosomal RNA, 461 nt
Filed under: uncultured bacterium
Lineage: Bacteria
Description: bacterial SSU rRNA
Rfam family: Bacterial small subunit ribosomal RNA
Source: RNAcentral
GGACCCGCACAAGCAGCGGAGCAUGUGGUUUAAUUCGAAGCAACGCGAAGAACCUUACCAGGACUUGACAUCCUGCUGACAGGACCUUAACCGGUCCCUCCUUCGGGCAGCAGAGACAGGUGGUGCAUGGUUGUCGUCAGCUCGUGUCGUGAGAUGUUGGGUUAAGUCCCGCAACGAGCGCAACCCUUGUUGUCAGUUACUAACAUUAAGUUGAGGACUCUGACGAGACUGCCGAGGUCAACUCGGAGGAAGGUGGGGAUGACGUCAAAUCAUCAUGCCCCUUAUGUUCUGGGCUACACACGUGCUACAAUGGUCGGUACAGAGAGACGCAAUACCGUGAGGUGGAGCAAAACACUAAAACCGAUCCCAGUUCGGAUUGCAGGCUGAAACCCGCCUGCAUGAAGUUGGAGUUGCUAGUAAUCGCAGAUCAGAAUGCUGCGGUGAAUGCGUUCCCGGGUCUU